CGUUACCAUUAAGCCAUUAAGCUUCGGUUCGGUUCGGUUUUCGGUUUCGGAUCGGUUUUGAACACCCCUAAUCCCUACUACAGAAAACUUCAAAAAUUCUCUAUACCCACGACAAGUUUUUAACCAACUCAUAGCGCAAUAGAAUAACCUGAAAUCUUAAUCCAAGACUUAACAAUAUGAUAAAACAUUAUUAACAUGAAGGAGUAAGUAGAAUACAUAUAUGAAAGCUAAACUAUUACAUAUUAAUGAAAUUAGGGAACAUAGGAACAAGAUUCAACAGGCAACACAUAUUCAGUAGAUUUCCAUAUUGGAUUGCACAUUUACACUUCACAUGUUGUUCAUAAUCCAAGAAGUACAUGAAGGUCAAAAUAAAAUAAAAGAGGAAUAGGAUUUCAGCAGUAGCAGAAGGAUGAGCAAAUCAACAACUCAACACAUCAAUACUCAACUCCCUUAAACCAUCUUUAACCCCAGAUAAUCAGUAUCCCUUAGAACUUUUAAGUUUUUACUGAAGUGAAAACCAAGUAGCAAUUUUAAACGAUUUCUAACCAAAAAUGAUGCAGAACUUCGAGUAUUUUUUCAGGGUCUAAAUGAAUGAUUUUUUGAGUGAAAGAAUGGUCUAUAUAUAACCCUUUGGAUUCCAUGUGCUGCUGAAAAUAGAAUGAGAAUUAUUCCAUCACACAAGCAUCUUUUUAGCUACCUUUACAACUAGCUAUCACUUAUUGGCUCAACAUUUUUGUGCUAAUCCAAUGGGGACAGCUGCCCCAGGUUCUACAACCUUCCUAGAUACCUUUUUAAACGAAAACACGAUUUAUAUCUUUCCCAGCCCCUUUAAGCUCUUCCUUAUACCAUUGAAUUCCCAAACUUCCAAUUGCAUAUAAAUUAAUACUAACAAAGAGAAACCAAAACUGGCACAAUUUGACUAAUUGAAAGUACCAAACCCUUAGCUACUGAUUCUUGAAUUAACUCGUAACUUAAACAAUUUUAUUACUAAGAGAAAUCAAAAAUGGCACAGCAAUUAAAUAGAUGAAACCAAAAUUAACAUUAUUUAAUGACUGAACUAUCCCUGAGGCUCUAACCUUUUGAAUCGGGUUACACACGGCAAUUUACAAAUAAUAACAGUACAAUGAGAUAGAUUAGCAUGCUAAUUCCAAACGAGUUUUCCUAAGCAUGAACUAAACCCAUCUAGAUAAACCCUAACCAAUCAAAAACUGAAUAUUUAAUGAUAUCGAUAGAAAAUUCACGAACUAACCCUAAAAUACUGGCUACCAACAAUGAUUAAGCACAGAAGUCAACAAAUAAUCUUAAAAUGCUAAAAACCCUAAGCCAUGUUGACUAAACAGUCAUGAAGUCAAGAAGAAAAAAAUCAAGAGAAAGGGAAAGAAAAUAACAGAGGGAAACAAACACGAUAAAAUAAGAAAGAAUUACCUAUGUUUUCUCCAAACGGAAUCCACUAAGAACUAACCACAUACUGACCACGAAAGGAAAGGGGGAAAGCUUAGUGCUUUUCCAAAACCCUUGAUUCAAAAUUUGACAUAAUUGGGGUUGAUUUCAGAGGAACCAAAGGUAUAUUUGGGGAGAGGAUGAGUGAUGGACUGCAUGGUGUGAGUUUAGGGUUGUUUGGGCGAGUUAGGUUUUUAGAGCUUCUGAGAUUAGAUCCAACAUUCGGUAGGUUUGAGGGGGAUUUGGAGAAGAAGACUAGGAGGUUUGGAACGAGGAGGGUGAGGGGAUCCUGUGGUGCUAAUUUCGGAGAGGAUCAGAGUGGUUUGGGGCGUCGCCGCCAGUGGAGACGGUUGAGAUUUUGGGGCAGAGGCUAGGGUUUUUAUGCUUGGACUUGAGAGAUACAAAAUGGGGAGUGUCGAAUGCGGG
This 1866-nucleotide long non-coding RNA is filed under the name Nicotiana benthamiana. RNAcentral's name for it is "long non-coding RNA (NBEN_LNC039854)". Lineage: Eukaryota; Viridiplantae; Streptophyta; Magnoliopsida; Solanales; Solanaceae. The record is from RNAcentral.